RNAcentral lists this unclassified non-coding RNA (200 nucleotides) under soil metagenome. RNAcentral describes it as "partial contains internal transcribed spacer 2 and large subunit ribosomal RNA". The record is from RNAcentral.
UGUUCGAGCGUCAGUACAACCCUCAAGCUCAGCUUGGUCUUGAGCCCCGCCGGCAACGGCAGGCUUUAAAAUCAGUGGCGGCGCCCCUGGGCUCUCAGCGUAGUAAUACACCCCGCUGUAGAGCCCCAGUGGAUGCUGGCCAGCAACCCCCAACUUCUACGUUUGACCUCGGAUCAGGUAGGGAUACCCGCUGAACUUAA